Long non-coding RNA from Hyla sarda, 604 nucleotides. RefSeq lists it as uncharacterized. The transcript is spliced from 4 exons. Lineage: Eukaryota; Metazoa; Chordata; Amphibia; Anura; Hylidae. The record is from RefSeq and is a predicted model, not a curated record.
CUCUGGACAGGUUUUGAUAAAUCUCCCUCAUAUAUGUAACUAUGUAACUUCAUUUAAAAUUGUAUAUAAACAAAUGGUCCAAAAUAGUGAACUAUCGCAGUUCACUAUUAGGUAGAUGUUAUAGCAGGACAGUUACUUGCAGAUAUGGGAAAUGCUGCCAACACACCAGCAGUUUUCUACUGCAUUAAUUUGCAAAGAACACAAGCUGUAUUCUGCAAGUAAUCUCAAGCACUCCACCACCUGGCAUUCUCUAUAGCCAGCUACUUGCCAUCCAGGGAGAUUUAUGGAGGUUCAUGAGUAGGGUUCAAAGUGGACAGUGAACCACAAAUGAACUCAGACUUACAUUACAUUGGGUACGUUUGAUGAUGCAGCCAUAGAACUCAUUAGGAAACUAUGUGAGGUUGGGUGACAAGAAAGACAUCAAGAUAAUAGGAGCAGAACUCAUCUACAUUAUUUUUCCAUUUGUUUUGCCAAAACAAUGUUUUGAAAACAUUCUAAUUCUGCUAUAAUAAUCAGUCUACAAUGUAUAUCAACGACAUUUAAUUAAAAGAAUGAUACAAUAUUCAAUUAUGUUUUAGAAUAUAGUGAUCAUUGUUUGGUUACA